Paramacrobiotus metropolitanus is the source of this 3838-nucleotide RNA transcript. RefSeq lists it as uncharacterized. The transcript is spliced from 7 exons. The record is from RefSeq and is a predicted model, not a curated record. NCBI's taxonomy places the organism in Eukaryota, Metazoa, Tardigrada, Eutardigrada, Parachela, Macrobiotidae.
CAGGCGGAUAAUAAAUAUUUAAUGAAUAUUAUUAUACCGUCAUCAGUACAGUACAGAUUGGUUCUGCGAAUCUAACAUUUUUGUCGAACGUCAUAUUUUACGGCUGCAGGGGAAACCGUUGUAACUUGUAAAUCCAUUUUUGUUUUUAACAUAACAAUUAUAAUGUACUGGUCUGAUUCUUCAUAAUUAUCCUGUGUCUUGCCCACCCGAUUCCGGUUUAAUACAGACCUGUGGGAACUUGCAGCGUAUCGCUCCCCGUGCAACUCUGACGAGCAGAACAAAUCAGUUCAUGUCAAUGGCGUAAUCAGCUGGAAAUACCGGAUACCUGAAGAGCAAGAUAGGAGCGCACACGCUUACAAGCGGAUCCGGCAGCCAACUAAAGGAGAAGAAGGUCAAAGACUACAUUACAGCACAAAUCCUGCAUGCAUGAAUUUGCCGUUCCAGCAGAAAAACUGGGAGAUCUGUUUAUGAAAAAGCCAGGAUUUAUGACGGAGGCAAACGCGAAAUCAUUUUCUUUCUCAGGAAGGACUGUGACGCGUGGAAAGAAUGUAUUUCACCAAAAUCUGGCAUAUUUGAGCGGUCGAAGGAUUUCCAAGUCGAUUCGCGUUGGCAGCCUCAACAGUCGCGGAUAGUUGUCUCAAAACUGCCCAUUUACUUCCUCGCGUCUCCGACGGCCUGACCUUUCGAGAUGUUUGACGAAGGAUAAAGACUUCCGCCGAGCGGCUUCAGGUUGGUUGGCUUGCUCCGGGAAGGUUAUGAUGAUUUCUCGCACCGACGUUCGUCCACUGACACAACGUCGACCGCAGGACAUUCACCCACACCAAGAAGAAGCCUAAGAAAACCGAAGAAACCAUGAGCCAACUAAGAUAGUUCGGCAAAACACUAAUUCGACGUUACGACGGGUAAACAUCGUGUCUGCUCGACGAAGGGACGGUCGAGGGAUUUUCGUCGGCGAAAUGGCGGGUCACCGUGAUGGCUAGGCUUUUUAAAAGACUUGUUUAACGAAAUAAAAUGUUUUCCCGUUGUGGAUGGUGCACGGUGACCUUUGAUAUGCGGACGGGAUUCGGCUCUGGAACUCGCGUUGGCUGCGAGCGCGGAACUCGCACGGAUUGGAACUAUGUGCACGGUUGAAUUGUGGAAAUACCUAAUUGUUAUGGAAACUGCUGAAAAAUAAUAUUAAGACGACUCCAGACACCACCAAAGUCUCCCGAAACGACCUUUCACCACCCGUUAAGCUCUCGACGCAACUGUUCGCACCGCUUUCUGCCUAAGCGCACCAUUUGCGAGACACGAUCGUGCAUAAUAAAAUGCCGUUUAUCUCAGGAGACAACCUCACAGCUGCGAACUGUGAGAUACACAAUGGUCGGUACAGUGGAACCUCCGAGUUUGAACACCUCCGAACCUUCAUCAGGUUAUGGCGGGCGGCGGCGGUGGCAGCGGCGUUUAACUCGGUGGCGGUAACCUCUGAGAGUUGUGAAGAUCUCUGAACCCUGAACAAAAAAUUGCGUACCGAAGGUAACGAAAAUGCUCCCCCGUUCCUUUUCCGGAAAAGCGAUAAGAGAGUGGGUAAUGCUUCCGUUGGGGCUUCCCAGCGUAAUCCAGAAGCUACCACCACUGUCCCGGUAAAGCAUCAGAACGACUGCGAUUAAAGGAUCUGCUCGCACUUACGGAAAUGGAAGCACGAGAGUUGCACAGAAAACGGUGAGCUAAACCCGAAAAGGCAGUGCUGCGUUUUUCUCGCCAGUAAUAACUUUAUAAAACUAAAUCUGUGCUGUGUUGUGUGCAUUUCUCGUCAACAUUUUCGUAAUGACCUUUCGUAACAACCUUUCGUAACGGACACAGAAACAUUUUUGCAUUUGGUGCUAAAUUAAGACUACGCUUGCUUCCCUCGAUUAAAUUAUUAUUAUCAUCGCUUAAAGCCUGUUGACCUUAUUACAAAAUAAAGAAGUCAGCAAUAGUAGUUAUAGUAUCAUACGAAUGUGGGUUAAGGUGGCGCCUGGCAACCAACGAUACCUAUUUCUAUCUGCAUCAGGAUCCAUCAUUAAUGCGCUAGUUCGCGAUGGAUCCUACUCACCAGUAAACUACUAGGAAUAGUUGAAUUCCGUGCCAUGAGUAAAAUACGAUGAGGUGUUAGUUCACGACAGUUACGUAGCAAGGAAAAGUGCAGGCUAACCAGCAUAACAUAAUUCUUCUCACAAAGCCAGGUCAGUUAAACCUAGUCCUAAUUUUAUUCCUGACAUCAAUAGGACUGCAGACUACGACGCUUGGUACAGGACCGGGAUGUUUUUGUCAGCGCUACGUACGUACUGCACUUGUUAACCACAUCACUGCACGAGCGCGAGCUUCAGUACCACUGGAAAAUACGAGUAGUACUGGAUUUGUGGAAUUGGAAAAGUGUGCCAUGGACGGUGGGAUUGUGUUCCUUGGUUUCCGAGUUUGUCAGAAAUAUUCGGCAGGUAGCGAGCACCAGUCAAGAAGCUCGCCAAAGUGAUCGGAAACGUACAACGUUUGCCGGGAAGAGAAGGAUGCGCCUGGCCUGGGAUGUGACGUGCGUCGACACAAUGGCCCUUUCCCAUCAUCAGUCCACGUCGGGUACGGCAGGUGCUGCUGCAGUACAAGCAGAAGAAAAGAAGUCCCGACUGUAUGCUUAUCUGCAAGGUCGCUAUAUUUUUUCUCCGAUCGCCUUUGAGACGAUGGGUCCCUGGGGCCCGUCGGCUAUCGCCAUUGUGAAAGAGUUGGGCAAAAGACUGCAGCAGCAUACGGGAGAGAGUCGAUCACAUGAAUUUCUGCGUCAACGCCUAUCGCUGCAAAUUCAGCGCGGAAAUGCAGCAUCUAUCCUUGGCACGAUGGACCGAGUGGAUAGUUUAAAUGAAGUUUUGCUGUUGUGAUUAAUGUGCUCUGUUUAUUUUUCUUCCACCUGAUUUGUGCAUUGAUUAUUAAUAACAAGCGAAGGCAUCGGAAAAGAAUUUCGUUACGACCCAAAGUACCGUAAUUAUCGAAUUUGUGGCACUGCGCGGCAAAAAGUUCGAACGUUCGCUGCUGGUGCGCUCUAUCAUUUUGGUCUCCAUUCACUUCGGCCACCAUUCAUUUCGGCCACCAAUCAUUUUGGCCACCAAAACCAAAGAAAACUAAGAAUCCUAAUUUUGGUCACCAUUAUUUUUCAGACAAUAAAUUUCGGAAGGGGCCAUUAUUUUUGGAAACAAGAGCUCAUUGCGUUCUAUCGAAACUGAACGCUGCAAACAUUUCUAUUGAAAUUUUUGAUUUCUCAGAUUUAAAGGGGUAGGUGCGCUUAGUACUUGGGGUGACCUUAUUGCCCGGGGCGCUACAAAUUCGAUAAUUACGGUAUUUGACGCGGAAUAAUAAACUUCAGCGAUUCAGCGUGUGUCUGUCUCUGCUGUCGAGAAUGUUGUUAAAAUAAACCCGAACUACAAGUAGUGCACCAGCGCAUGCAUUUUUUGGUAAUGCAUUUUUAGCGCAUGCAUUUUUUGGUAAGUAGUGCACCAGCCCAUGCAUUUUUCGGUAAUUGGCUGGCUAUUGUCAAUAAAAGAAAUGAACCGGAUGUAGGUCGUAAUAUUCUCCAGGUCGUUUUCUAGGUGUUUAGUUAGGUCUUGAUAUUAUUUCGAAGGAACUAGCUAAAUAAAGCAGUCGCAACGGACGAAUGUGUUUUUAACCCCUUUGAAGAACUCUAAACCCUGUUUAAUGGACUUGCAGUCUUGCACAUACGCAUAAUUCAUAAACAGUACCGAUUCUGCCAGCUCAUAAAUUCUUAUCAGUUAAUUCUUCAGUGUUAUUUUUUUUUAAUUUUUAUGAUUUUUUAAGCGUUUUAUUUUUGUGAACU